GUCGAUGGCUGUGUCCAGCGGUGAACGCUUUACCACAGGACUCUACGGUGGGGUAGGCAGCGCCACUUCAAUGUGAAGACAAAUGAACUGGCGUCUCUUGAGAUAGGCCCCUGCCUCCAGGACCUCUCAGGCCCCGGGCCCUGGUUACUGCCGUGGAAGCUGCCUGUUCAGACGUCAUCUCUAUCACCCCUUGAAGGGAGACAGAGAGGUGUUUGCGAGUUGGAUGUUUUAUCUUGUCUUUCCUGAUUCUUUGUUAGAACACCCCCAGGGCUUGGUUUUUGUUCUCAACCUGUGAUUAGAAAUAAGAUCCUAAAGUGUCAGAUCUGGAAGGCCCAUGAGAGCUGAGGAGAUCAAAUGCCCGGAGCUCGGGAGAUCAGAUGACCUGGGGUGUCUGGAGCCAGUGGUGGCCUCAUCUGCAGCAUCUUCCUCUGUCCUGCCCACCACAGAGUCCCUGCUGGCCCCGGGGGGCCCCUCCUCCGCCACAGGGCCCCUGAGCAUUGCUGCGUUUGUUUCUCCAGCUCCUCCUUCCUGCAGAAGCAGUUCCCAGAGGGGCAAUUUCUCCAGCCUGCCUGGUCGCGUCUCCUUCUUCACCUCGGGGUCCGAGAACCUACACCGCGUGGAGAAGGUCCACUGGGGCACCCGUUACGCCAUCACCAUCGCCUUCAGCUGCAACCCCGACCAUGGCAUCGAGGACCCAGCGUUCCCGUAGCCAGCAGCCGGGCCAAGGUAACUUCAGGAGGGCCCGUGUGGAGGCAGCCGCGCCAGUCGUGCACCCACCCCCACGUCCACCCGCUCCUGUUGCACAGAGUGCCUUAGGAAUUCUCUGAUUUUGAUUUGCUGACGUGUUAAUCUUUUCAUCUGUGAGUAAAUGAAGGGAACCAGCUUUUCACUU
This 892-nucleotide long non-coding RNA is filed under the name Homo sapiens (human). Its description in RNAcentral is "non-protein coding lnc-C17orf62-7:2". Lineage: Eukaryota; Metazoa; Chordata; Mammalia; Primates; Hominidae. The record is from RNAcentral.